RNAcentral lists this long non-coding RNA (348 nucleotides) under Elaeis guineensis (African oil palm). RNAcentral's name for it is "long non-coding RNA (EGUI_LNC037707)". Lineage: Eukaryota; Viridiplantae; Streptophyta; Magnoliopsida; Arecales; Arecaceae. The record is from RNAcentral.
GCACCUGAUUUAGUGAUUUCCCUAUAGGUUUAAUAUAGUUGGCAGCUAUUGGAUAUUAUUGUUGUCGGAGAAUUGAGCUGGCUUAGACCAUUGAGUUAGAGUCGAAAAAGGAUGGCGGUCGUCAGACAAUCAGUCGAGAUCUUCGAAACUAGUCGCUAGCAUCAGAUCCUUGAUCAUCCCUCAGGCUGAUCUUGCAAAACCACCAAAGAUAAAAAAAAUCCUCAUUGUGGGAGAUUUUUUGAUGACGGACCCUCUGACGCCUAGCAAAAUUAGUUUUCCAUAGAAGCAAGCAGAAGAGAUCUGAAUGAUGGAUGAAAAGAUGAGGUGGUGUCAAGUAUGAAGUGUGGA